Molecule: long non-coding RNA, 1226 nt
Organism: Ostrea edulis (European flat oyster)
Lineage: Eukaryota; Metazoa; Mollusca; Bivalvia; Ostreida; Ostreidae
Exons: 3
Source: RefSeq, a predicted model, not a curated record
GGGUCUGUAAGUCUCGUCAUGUGAUUGCCGAGAUUUAGCGAGAUUAUUAACUUCCGGGUACAUCAACAUCUCAAAUUGCACUGUGUAGAGAGUGGUAUACAUAGAUAUAGCGUUAUCAAUCGAUUAUGUGGAAGUUUAACGAGAUAAACAUGGGAAUUGAAGCAAUAGUGGAGUCGUCGAGGAUUCUUCGCUUCGUGUUUGACGAAUUACGUGUAAUAACUGCCAGUGUACGAUAAAGAGCAGGUUGGUAAAAGCGUAAUGAGAUGUACGAUAUGUUUUUAUAUUCUCAAAUCAUUCCAAUUGAAAAUAUAUCAAUACUUGAAAAGAAAAACGGAUUAUGCAUAAAACUUGCUUUGUGUUUAUACGAAUGUACGAUCGGAAGGGGGGGCAACGAUACUACAUGUACGUACCAGCAGUGUACAGUUGUAUACAUAUUCAAUAAGCAAAGCUCAUUAAUGUGCCUAUCUAUAUCAGUUACAUCACAGAUGGGUUAAGAUUGUUUAAUAUUUGAAAAUUAUUUUAUAGAUAUGCCUUGAAUCUGAGGAUAAAGGUGUUGUGUAUUGUGCAGUCAUCAUUAAUGUGGAUGUCUGAUGCCAGUAUGCCCAUAAUGGGGCAGUCUAAGUGUCGAUCUUCAUAUGGCAGCAAAUUUUCAAAGGCAGAUAUAAGAAGGCAAAUAAAACUGUUCAAGGUAAAAUAGCCAGUAGUUGGAUAAAACAUCCAAAGUCGGCACAGUCAAAGGUCACAACAACAAUGGAGGAAUUAACUGCAUCCUCAUUCCGAAGGUACAGCAGGCCAUUUUCAGCAACCCUGAAAUUCUUAAUUGAGGCUAAGUGCCCAUUUUCAGCUUGAACAAUGACAAUUAAAGAGGCCUGUGCAAAUGUUGGGAUUUCCCUAUUGAAAGUGAUGCAAGGGAUGGUUCGCUGCACCUCAAAACAAAAUUUGAAUAUUGGCAUCAGAUUCAAGGACAACACCACCCGAAAGACACCCAAUGCUGUGAUUUUCUAGUGUGGAUUCCUAGUGACACUCAAAUAAUUCACAUUGACAAAGAUGUAUUAUGGUCAACCUUUUACGCGUGAUAGAGUUUAAUUAUAAUAAUGAAGUAUUUUUGCAGUCUAAAACACACACACAUAACCACAUGUACAUAUACUUUAUUAUGAUAUCAGUGGUGCAUCUAUCAAAGUUAUGUAAUUACAUGUAUAUUUAUUGAAUAAACAUUUAUAGACAGA